This 155-nucleotide ribosomal RNA is filed under the name uncultured Alteromonas sp. RNAcentral's name for it is "partial 16S ribosomal RNA". It matches the Rfam family "Bacterial small subunit ribosomal RNA", at positions 339 to 486 of the family's 1533-position model. The record is from RNAcentral. Lineage: Bacteria; Pseudomonadati; Pseudomonadota; Gammaproteobacteria; Alteromonadales; Alteromonadaceae.
CUACGGGAGGCAGCAGUGGGGAAUAUUGCACAAUGGGGGAAACCCUGAUGCAGCCAUGCCGCGUGUGUGAAGAAGGCCUUCGGGUUGUAAAGCACUUUCAGUUGUGAGGAAAAGUUAGUAGUUAAUACCUGCUAGCUGUGACGUUAACAACAGAA